CACGUAGGGUGCGAGCGUUGUCCGGAAUUAUUGUGCGUAAAGAGCUCGUAGGCGGUGUGUCGCGUCGGCCGUGAAAACCUGCAGCUUAACUGUGGGCUUGCGGUCGAUACGGGCAUCACUGGAGUUCGGCAGGGGAGACUGGAAUUCCUGGUGUAGCGGUGAAAUGCGCAGAUAUCAGGAGGAACACCGGUGGCGAAGGCGGGUCUCUGGGCCGAUACUGACGCUGAGGAGCGAAAGCGUGGGGAGCAAACAGG
Molecule: ribosomal RNA, 254 nt
Filed under: uncultured bacterium
Lineage: Bacteria
Description: partial 16S ribosomal RNA
Rfam family: Bacterial small subunit ribosomal RNA
Source: RNAcentral